This 465-nucleotide ribosomal RNA is filed under the name uncultured bacterium. Its description in RNAcentral is "partial 16S ribosomal RNA". It matches the Rfam family "Bacterial small subunit ribosomal RNA", at positions 28 to 507 of the family's 1533-position model. The record is from RNAcentral.
GAUGAACGCUGGCGGCGUGCUUAACACAUGCAAGUCGAACGGAAAGGCUCCUGCUUGCAGGGGUACUCGAGUGGCGAACGGGUGAGUAACACGUGGGUGAUCUGCCCUGCACUUCGGGAUAAGCCUGGGAAACUGGGUCUAAUACCGGAUAGGACCACAUUUUGGAUGGUGUGGUGGAAAGUUUUUCGGUGUGGGAUGAGCUCGCGGCCUAUCAGCUUGUUGGUGGGGUAAUGGCCUACCAAGGCGUCGACGGGUAGCCGGCCUGAGAGGGUGUACGGCCACAUUGGGACUGAGAUAGGGCCCAGACUCCUACGGGAGGCAGCAGUGGGGAAUAUUGCACAAUGGGCGCAAGCCUGAUGCAGCGACGCCGCGUGGGGGAUGACGGCCUUCGGGUUGUAAACUCCUUUCGCUAGGGACGAAGCGCAAGUGACGGUACCUAGAGAAGAAGCACCGGCUAACUACGUG